RNAcentral lists this unclassified non-coding RNA (111 nucleotides) under uncultured Cystofilobasidiales. RNAcentral's name for it is "sequence contains ITS1". The record is from RNAcentral. Lineage: Eukaryota; Fungi; Basidiomycota; Tremellomycetes; Cystofilobasidiales.
AUGAGCGAGCCUUUAUGGCGAGCACUAAUAUCCAUAACACUGUGAACUGUUGGCCUUUGGGUCAUAUUUUACAAACUCUUGUGUAAUGAACGUAUAAAACUAUAAUCAAUA